Small nuclear RNA from Chrysoperla carnea, 162 nucleotides. RefSeq annotates it as U1 spliceosomal RNA. The record is from RefSeq and is a predicted model, not a curated record. The transcript has a single exon. Lineage: Eukaryota; Metazoa; Arthropoda; Insecta; Neuroptera; Chrysopidae.
AUACUUACCUGGCGUCGAGGAAACCGUGAUCAAUGAGGCGGUUCCUCCAGGGCGAGGCUUUUCCAUUGCACUACGGUAAGGCGGACCCUUGCGAUCAUCCCUAAUGUGGAUAAUUCGAUCGUGUAAUUUUUGGUAAUCGGGACUUCGUUCGCGCUUUGCGGG